AGGCUUCCGGUCUGUUUGGUGCCCUGGUCGCGUGUCUUCCGAACUCUGCUGCUUCGCCCCGGCAAGAGCACUUCCUUCCGCGGCUGCUAAAACUGGUGCGCGGGUUCCCAACUUCGCAGAAGAGCUUCAUCGGCCCCCCGCUAGAGACCUCAGACCGCAGCCAUCGACGCCUCGCCUCGGGGAUCUGUCCCCACCCUCGGGGCCAGCUCACCAUGAGUCAGGCCCUGUGCUAGGUGCUGGGAUGAAGCAGUGACUGACACAGGCCUGGACCUGUCCUUGGGAAGAGUGCGUCUGUGACACAGAUACUGUGCCAUGUGGCAAAGUAAGCGCGUGGGACAGCAGAGCCUUGUUUGCCAUUAAAGUAAUAUCACAAGUCUGUUAAGGUUGGAGAAUCAAGUGAACAUGCUGAAAAGUUAUGGGGAAUGUAGUCUCAUAGCUGGGGGAGCUGGGGGCCUUGUCAAUUGGUUCCCCCAGUCUGGAGAGCAAUCUGAGAACUUGAAUGGAGACAUCAGCUCUUUGUGGGUCUCAAGUCUACUGGCUUUCAAUCAGCUCUUCUGCUUGACAGCUGCAGGUCUUGGGACUGCCCAGCCCCCAUAACCCUGUGAGUGCAUUCCUGAUAAUAACCCUCUUUCUCUUGUCCUCCCCCACCCCACAUCAUUGGUUCUGUUUCUCUGGAGAACCAUAAUACAUCAUUUACUAAUCAGGAAAUAGAUUCAGAGACAUUAAUAACUCAUCCAACCUCACAGUUAACUGUAGAGUUGGGCUUGAAAUUCCAAGGUCGAUUUUCUUAGCCAAUACACCAUGCUACAUAUAUGUAUGUAAAAAUAAAAACGCUUGUGAACUGAAAA
This 848-nucleotide long non-coding RNA is filed under the name Homo sapiens (human). The record is from RNAcentral. Lineage: Eukaryota; Metazoa; Chordata; Mammalia; Primates; Hominidae.